Propithecus coquereli (Coquerel's sifaka) is the source of this 2057-nucleotide long non-coding RNA. RefSeq lists it as uncharacterized. NCBI's taxonomy places the organism in Eukaryota, Metazoa, Chordata, Mammalia, Primates, Indriidae. The record is from RefSeq and is a predicted model, not a curated record. The transcript has 3 exons.
AAGGACCCAGGACAGGGCAUCUGGACAUGGAUCUUUGCAUGUUUGGCUCUCUCUGUUCCAGCGGCCCUCCCAGAAGUUGGGAGGGGUGAAGGCUCCCUUGGGCUCUCCAUUCUUGGGUCUGUGGUUGGAAGAAGAAUGCCCUUCUGCUCACUAUGAACAUGACUUAUGACCUCCCAGACAGCAAAGAUAAGGAGACCCAGAACCAGGAAGGUGUCACAGCCCCCAGGAUCCUCCACCUUCCCAUUCUGCCUCAGCCGAACGUGGAGGCCUCAGAAGGAAAAAGCCUCACUGAAGAUGACGAUUUGCUCAAAGAGGAAGACGCGCCUCUCUCGACCCCGGUAAGAGAGCAGCCCCCCGGCUUCAGGCUCUGUGACCCAGAAUGUGUCCUGGCCCAAGAGCUUCCCCUGAGCAGUCAGUUUGCCCUGGAACCAAAGGAUAGCAGCCUUUGAGAAAGAACAAGAAGAGAAAAAGGGCAAUUCCCUGAUCCUCCUUCCCUGCUCUGACACUCCCAACCAACCGUGGCAUUAGCCCAGGAGGAGAGAGCUCCCCAUAAGGACCUCCAGAGUGUUAACACUGGGGCAGAAACUGGGCACCGGUUUCCUGCCCCAUCUCCAUACCUCAAAUCCCCGCAGUCUCCCCAGGGUCAUCAUAUCAUUGCAGCGCUUGGGCACGAAGCACAUGACCUCCACAGCUUGCUGGGAUGCAGUUCACUCAGGACAUACCUAAGAAUGGGAGGGUGCCCCCACUUCAGAGUCUGGGCACAUCCUUCGUGUAGCCAGUUCCUCCCUCCUUCACUAGAAGCCCCUUCAUCACCAUGGCCAACCUCAGAGGGGAAUUCCAUCUAAAACGUGAGGGACAAUCUUCUGGAAGUUAUGCAAUUGCUGGGGGUGGGGGGCAGAACACUUACAUACUCCUUUCCAGAGCCUUCUUCUUCUGUUCCUCCUCACUCUUGGGGGCUUGGGACAAAGUCUCUUCUUCAGAUUGCUGAAAUGAAAGAACAUACUAGGGUAAGCAAAUGAAUGCCUCUUGGAUGAGGGGAGCCGUCCCAGACCUGUUUCUUCAUACCUGUGUUUUAUCUUUAGGGCCCUCCAACAACGUUGUCAGCAAGGUCAGUUCUGGCAGCUCCUCUCCUGUGGCUAGAGCUGGCUCCAACAUCCAGUUCUGGGAGCCAGAGGUCAAGUGUCAGAGGUCAUGGACAACAGCUGAAUGUCCCCAGUGACCAGUGCCCCCAACUUGCCCUCUCUCCCAGUGGCCUUCAUGGAUGUCCUACAUCCUUCUGUGGUGUUCCCUGCUCACCUCAUAUGGUCCCGCCUGACCACCGUCUGCCUCAGUUUCCACACUGAGACAAUGUUUGGAAUGAUCCAACCAUCUCCUUAGGCCCCUGACUGGCCCUGGGGGGCCGGGGGAACAGGGGCCAGAGCUGAGGCCAGAGUUGGGGCCAGAGAGGGCAGCCAGACCCGAGGCAGCAGAAGCCGAUAUACUCCCCUCACUGCCAGCAAUGGAAUAGGAUUCUAAGAGGGGGGAAAAAAAAAAAAGGUGAUAGACAUUGCUCCAGCUCCAGACUCAGGGUCCCCAAGGAACUCUCAGGGUUUCCUCUCCAUAAUGCUCAGCCCCUCUCUCCCAGGGCUCACUCUCUUGCCAUCCUCAUUUGAGUUGGCCAGGGUAGAAAAUUCCACCAGGGCACCCUUGGGAGGAAGGACAGUAAACACCUGGCUCCCCAGGCCCGGAACCCCCAGUUACAUGUGGAGGUUCCCCAUAUCCUGAGCACAGCAUAGAUAUGGGGGUGGGGGCAGCCAUCUGGGCAAACACUAGAAGCAGGGGGAGGCCAUCUGCUCAGCUACAACCCUCCCCCUUCCAAUGGGUACAGACCAUUCUCUGGGAAGAGGGGGAAGAGCUAAGAGUCCAUCUGCCACUCCCAGACCCCUCCUCCAGCAAUUGCAGUAAUCACUAUAGAAAGAAAAGACUUGUGCAGCCCACCUCCCCAACACAUGCACAAACCCAAUAGAGGGGCUGCUGAGAGUGCAUGAGGCUUAUCUAUGGCUUGGGCUCAGGGACAG